GAAGAAGAACGUAGCGAAAUGCGAUAAGUAAUGUGAAUUGCAGAAUUCAGUGAAUCAUCGAAUCUUUGAACGCAACUUGCGCCCUCUGGUAUUCCGGAGGGCAUGCCUGUUUGAGUGUCAUGUAGACUCAAUCCCUCGGGUUUCUGAGGAGGUUGGAUUUGGGUGCUUGCCUUCUGGCUCGCCUUAAAGGACUUAGCAGGAUAGCACUGUAGUCGACGUAAUAAGUCUCGUCGGUGAAAGUGUGAUGUCUGCUUACAGAUUGCCCUUGGGCACUUUUGACUCUGACCUCAAAUCAGGUAGGACUACCCGCUGAACUUAAGCAUAUCAAUAAGCGGAGGA
This 339-nucleotide unclassified non-coding RNA is filed under the name soil metagenome. RNAcentral describes it as "partial contains 5.8S ribosomal RNA, internal transcribed spacer 2, and large subunit ribosomal RNA". The stretch from base 1 to 120 matches the Rfam family "5.8S ribosomal RNA", at positions 35 to 154 of the family's 154-position model. The record is from RNAcentral.